RNAcentral lists this ribosomal RNA (416 nucleotides) under Gyraulus sp. 15643. Its description in RNAcentral is "partial large subunit ribosomal RNA". Lineage: Eukaryota; Metazoa; Mollusca; Gastropoda; Planorbidae. The record is from RNAcentral.
AGUUUUAUGGUAUUAUAUAAAAUAUUUUCUGCCCAGUGUCGUUUAGAUAAAUGGCCGCAGUACCUUGACUGUGCUAAGGUAGCAUAAUCAAUUGGCUUUUAAUUGAAGUCUGGAAUGAAUGGGAUAAUGAAAUUUAGCUGUCUUAUUUUUUUUAAUUAAAAUUUAUUUAUUAGGUGAAAAUACCUUUAUACAUAUUAAAGACGAGAAGACCCUAUGAAUUUUUAAUUUUUUUGUUGGGGCGACAGUUUAAAAAAUAAUCUUAAAUUUUAAAAUAUAUAACGAUUUUUUUAAUAAAAAUUAAAUUACCUUAGGGAUAACAGCAUUAUUAUUUAAAUAGUUUGUGACCUCGAUGUUGGACUAGGAACUAAAAGGCUAACCGUCUUUAUAGAUUUGUUCUGUUCGAACAAUUUUAUCCU